AGCCGUCGCAUUCAACAUUUCUCUGCAUAUCGUCAGACAUCUUCCUCGUGGAGUUUUCUGCCAAAUGAGGACGUGAUUGCUGCUGUACUGUGAAUCUCAAGCACACCUGCAUUCUUAUCAUGGGUGAUGGGCAGUUCAAGAUUGCUGUCGUUCAAGAAGUUAAUGACCACUGUUGAGGUUGUGAGCUACAAAUACCCAGAAGAGGUGGCACUUACGUUGGA
Labeo rohita (rohu) is the source of this 221-nucleotide long non-coding RNA. RefSeq lists it as uncharacterized. Lineage: Eukaryota; Metazoa; Chordata; Actinopteri; Cypriniformes; Cyprinidae. The record is from RefSeq and is a predicted model, not a curated record. The transcript is spliced from 3 exons.